RNAcentral lists this ribosomal RNA (253 nucleotides) under uncultured bacterium. RNAcentral's name for it is "partial 16S ribosomal RNA". It matches the Rfam family "Bacterial small subunit ribosomal RNA", at positions 524 to 776 of the family's 1533-position model. The record is from RNAcentral.
UACGUAGGGUGCAAGCGUUAAUCGGAAUUACUGGGCGUAAAGCGUGCGCAGGCGGUGAUGUAAGACAGGUGUGAAAUCCCCGGGCUUAACCUGGGAACUGCAUUUGUGACUGCAUCGCUGGAGUGCGGCAGAGGGGGAUGGAAUUCCGCGUGUAGCAGUGAAAUGCGUAGAGAUGUGGAGGAAUACCGAUGGCGAAGGCAGCCCCCUGGGAUAACACUGACGCUCAUGCACGAAAGCGUGGGGAGCAAACAGG